UUCCUGAUGCUCUCUCCAGUCCGUAAAGCUCUCCAGCCAGGAGGCAGAGUGGCCAGCGCUGGCUGCCCACCGUAGCGCUGUGCACACCCUCUGCCCUACAACCCUGUGCUGUGCAGAGAGCUUGUGCCUUGCCCCUCCUUCUCAGAGCCAGCAAUGAAAGAGAUUGCAGUAACCCGGGUCAACCUGACUUUGAUGGCGGCCAGUCAAGAUGUGCUCCCCAUCUUUCCAUUAACUUCGAGGGGCCUGGCUGACCUGGGAACAAGCUGCUCAGCUGCAGCUGCACAUGCUGAAACAAUCCGCUCCUAAAGGGAGUGGCCAGUCAUUUCUCUUGCCAACAUUUGCUUAGUGGCCUGGCACAAUCCCCUUCCCUCUGCAUUGCACAAAAGGCUGCUCCUGAGUCCGCUUGCCCUGGGAUGCAUGCUGCAGCUUUCACAGAAGGUAUUGCCAAGUGCCCUUAGAGAGCAUAUAAUGCUGGGAAUGAGAGGAAAGGUGUCCUGGGGUGAGGCUGCCAUUCCCACAGCACUCCAUUCCAAGGCUUGUGAAUGAAGAGUUAAAAGCCAGAAGAACCCAGGCCCUGGGAAAAGAAAGGCAAAGGAGAGCCCGAGCAUGGGCAGGAGCAUGAAGAACGUCUGUGGGAUAGACACUGACAAAACAGAAGAAGAAGAAGAAGAAGAAGAAGAAGAAGAAGAAGAAGAAGAAGAAGAAGAAGAAGAAGAAGAAGAAGAAGAAGAAGAAGAAGAAGUCAGAGAGUUGGUGGCUCUGUAGGGAGAAAGGGGAACAUCUUAUAGGGUUGAAAUCGC
Molecule: long non-coding RNA, 800 nt
Organism: Hemicordylus capensis (graceful crag lizard)
Lineage: Eukaryota; Metazoa; Chordata; Lepidosauria; Squamata; Cordylidae
Exons: 3
Source: RefSeq, a predicted model, not a curated record